This is an RNA transcript of Pelobates fuscus (common spadefoot toad), 1873 nucleotides long. It is a transcript of the gene named 5-hydroxytryptamine receptor 7, with no coding region annotated. The transcript has 5 exons. Lineage: Eukaryota; Metazoa; Chordata; Amphibia; Anura; Pelobatidae. The record is from RefSeq and is a predicted model, not a curated record.
AUGCGAGAGGUUCAUUGAAAAGAAGGGAAAGAAUAACAGGACUACUGGCAGUGAGAGUCUUUCUUCUGUCAACCUCAAGACUUGACAUCAUGAAGGGUACAUUUGAUAAGAACAAGGAACAGUAAAGAACUGUUCUGUAUCAUCAAUCUGGACUGAGAAGAAUGUGACCAGAAAGCCACCAUAAGAAGUCCUCUCCUCCUAGAAUGCCUGUAAAAGACACUCUUUGACCAUGAAUGUGUGCCCUUGCCAGGGGCCCAUGCUGUCCACUCAACAAAUAUUAAAAAAGGAUGGCAACCAGAGAAGAACUGAUAGUUUGAUCACUGGCUUUGCAAGGUGACUGUGUUGGACCUCAAUGUCUUCUUGGAGAUAUUCUGUACACACAUGGGCUUCUCAACUCACAAUGGUUAUCGAUAUCAACAGCAGCCACCUAUAUGAUAACAUUAGAUCCUUUCUGAUAGAAGACCUGAGGGAUUACAGCACCACUAUAAUGAUUUCUGGUUCAUUCAACCCACAUCUUCUGAAGAUCAUCCAAGAUGCAAGUGCCACCACCACGAAUCCCAUGCCAACCUCCAGUUUCCCCAGUGAAAAUGACACCCAGUGUGGAGAGCAGAUUCUUAACUAUGGUCACAUAGAAAAGCUGGUGAUAGGAGCCAUCCUCUCUCUUAUCACUUUACUUACAAUUGCAGGGAAUUGCUUGGUGGUCAUUUCUGUGUGCUUUGUGAAGAAACUUAGACAACCUUCAAACUAUCUGAUUGUGUCCCUAGCAUUAGCAGACCUAUCAGUGGCCAUUGCUGUCAUGCCUUUUGUUAGUGUAACUGACCUCAUUGGGGGUGAAUGGAUCUUUGGUCAAGUAUUUUGCAAUGUAUUUAUUGCAAUGGAUGUGAUGUGCUGUACAGCUUCCAUCAUGACUUUGUGUGUUAUUAGCAUUGACAGAUAUCUUGGAAUUACCAGACCAUUGACGUAUCCUGUGAGGCAGAACGGAAGAUGCAUGGCCAAAAUGAUCCUUUGUGUCUGGCUUCUUUCUGCCUCCAUCACUUUACCUCCACUAUUUGGAUGGGCCCAGAAUGUAAACGAUGAUAAAGUUUGUCUCAUAAGCCAAGAUUUUGGUUACACCAUUUACUCUACAGCUGUGGCCUUUUACAUCCCAAUGUCAGUGAUGUUGUUCAUGUACUACCGAAUUUUCAAAGCGGCAAAGCAAAGUGCUGCAAAACACAAAUUUGGUGGCUUUCCACGCCAUGAAGAAAGCGAAGGGAUGAUCACGGCAAACGGGGUUGUGAAAAUGUACAGAGAAUCAGAAGAAUGUUCAAAUUUCUCCAAGUUACUCAGAAAUGACAGGAAAAAUAUCUCCAUCUUUAAGAGGGAACAAAAAGCUGCUACAACACUUGGAAUUAUUGUAGGAGCAUUCACUGUUUGCUGGUUACCCUUUUUUAUACUUUCAACAGCGAGACCCUUUAUUUGCGGAACUGAAUGCAGUUGCAUUCCACUGUGGAUGGAGAGGACAUUUUUAUGGUUGGGAUAUGCAAACUCUCUAAUAAACCCUUUUAUUUACGCAUUUUUUAACAGAGAUCUGAGGACAACGUAUCGAAACCUGUUACAAUGCAGGUACAGGAACAUCAACAGGAAGUUAUCUGCUGCGGGAAUGCAUGAGGCUCUAAAACUUGCAGAAAGGCCUGAUCGGAUUCUGAAACCAACCAUUACAAGGACCACGCGCAGAUCCUGCACCACACCAUAUCCCUAGGAGGGGAUCAUUACGCCCAAGCAUUCAAGUUGGAGCUGAACCGACACUCCCAAAAAAAAAAAAUGCUCUCAAGAAGAUCUUCUUCAAGAACAAUUCAUCAACAGGAUGCAUUUGUAAUCCAUGCUUAACAUGUAC